RNAcentral lists this transfer RNA (70 nucleotides) under Actinomycetota bacterium. Its description in RNAcentral is "tRNA-OTHER". It matches the Rfam family "tRNA". From Rfam's summary of the family: Transfer RNA (tRNA) molecules are approximately 80 nucleotides in length. Their secondary structure includes four short double-helical elements and three loops (D, anti-codon, and T loops). Lineage: Bacteria; Bacillati; Actinomycetota. The record is from RNAcentral.
UCCCGAGUGGUGAUGGUCACCAGCCUGGUUCUGGCCCAGGUGUCCGUUGGUUCGAUUCCAGCCUUGGGAG